AAGUUUGAUGGCGACCGGCGCACGGGUGAGGUAACACGUAUCCAACCUGCCGAUGACUCGGGGAUAGCCUUUCGAAAGAAAGAUUAAUACCCGAUGGCAUAGUUCUUCCGCAUGGUAGAACUAUUAAAGAAUUUCGGUCAUCGAUGGGGAUGCGUUCCAUUAGGUUGUUGGCGGGGUAACGGCCCACCAAGCCUUCGAUGGAUAGGGGUUCUGAGAGGAAGGUCCCCCACAUUGGAACUGAGACACGGUCCAAACUCCUACGGGAGGCAGCAUG
RNAcentral lists this ribosomal RNA (274 nucleotides) under uncultured bacterium. RNAcentral describes it as "partial 16S ribosomal RNA". It matches the Rfam family "Bacterial small subunit ribosomal RNA", at positions 81 to 353 of the family's 1533-position model. The record is from RNAcentral.